RNAcentral lists this unclassified non-coding RNA (3991 nucleotides) under Mizuhopecten yessoensis (Yesso scallop). Its description in RNAcentral is "uncharacterized LOC110455149, transcript variant X2". The record is from RNAcentral. Lineage: Eukaryota; Metazoa; Mollusca; Bivalvia; Pectinida; Pectinidae.
UACUUGAGCCUUUCCCGUUAGAUCACGUACAGACGAUGCGAGCCUCAGUUGUUUUCCGUUUACACUUGUAUCUGGGUUGUUAUCCUGGUGUUCUGUACUGCUACAGUAACUAACAUUGACAGGGAGUUUAUGUUUCACUGAUACUACGAUAGGGAGAAUAUACUACGCCUUACAUUCAAAGGAUGGGACAUUCGCAUGGGAGCUAGCCAAAUUCGAACGUGUAGUCCAGAAGGCAAGUCUCCGAUAGGAUGGCUGGAGUUGGAGUGAGUCACGAAGAUAUGAGGAUUACUGUACAACUGGGUGAUGUGUCGCAAAUCGAGGCGUGGGUCCGUACUGGUCUGGACCUGGCUCGAUGGAGGGACAGGAAUGGUGAUAACGUAUACCAUAUCUAUGUGAAGUAUGGUUACCAUUGUGAUGCUUUAUGUGUAAUGGAGGCCAUACCUCGUGUCUGUCCUACACAUUCAUCGCUCAUUACAGAACCUAACAGUAGAGGAAUUACACCUCUCGUAAGAGCUUGUCAGUUCUCCACGUUAUCAGAUGACUGGUUCACUCUGGCCGUCCUGGAGUUCCUCAUCCAUCACAGCCAAAACAUCAAUUACGACCAGCUACUACGUAUGGCACAACACAGAAAGACUCACAGAUUUCUGUCAUGGAGGAAGAAAAAUCCAUCAGGGUUGCCAGAAUCCAUCCGAAGGACAACUGAUCAGAAAAUCAUGAGAUACAUCAACACGGUGGAGUCUAUGGACAAAGAAGCGGCAAAACGUUACAGGGAUGCCAUGGCGAAGGAAUGUGGCAGAUCUCGCAGUAUUAGGAUCUAUUAUGUUGGGUUUAAUGGGGUAGGCAAAAGUACCCUCUGUAGAAACAUGAGAGGAGUUAGCACACAGGGAUUGACGAGCACUGACCUGAUGGAGGCCUUCAUACAGCGCCAAGUUAUCAAUACAACGACGGGGAAAUUGAGGAAUAUAACAGACGACAUGGAACACCAUCUAGCCCUUGAUAAAAUCAAUAGAGAGAUGGCUUUUGAGAGAAUGAAACGAAAAGCAGCCCUCGAUAAGGUCAAAGAAGAAAUGGAAUCGGAGAAGGGCCAAAACCAGGUUGACUUCGGUCGUGGGAUUAGUGGUUUCCUGUCAAGUGUUAAACAGAAAUUCAUCAAUCCUUUUGUGUCUAUGUUCUCUAAGAAAAAACACACAGACAAUCCAGAAAGCUGCGCCAUGACAGAAGAACUUGCUCCUGGUGAAGAGACGGUUCAUCUCUCCGAGCCAAAGCCAAGUCAAUCUCUAGAGCAGGAAUCAUCAACCGGACGUGACGGAAAGGCUUUGGAUCGACAAAAACGGGAUGAGAGAUCAUAUGACUGCGCCGUUCAGUUAGACGUCCUUCAACUGGAAGAAAUGGACGAGGAAGCAUAUGUAUCGAUGUGGGAUUUCGGAGGAGAGGAGCUAUUUGUCAACACAAACCAUCUGUUUCUCAGUGGAGAUGCAGUUUAUCUGCUGGUUUUUAAUUUGUUGGAGUAUGAGGACCCGAGUGGACGCAUGCGUAGUAUGGUUAAGUUCUGGCUGAAAUCGGUGAACAGUUUGUCGAAAGAACGAACAAGUAAAACGAAACAGUCACCACCAGUUAUAAUGAUUGGAACAUUUCUGGAUAAGAUUCCUGGGACGCAAUGGGAGAAAGAUGAGAAGGCAGCGUACAUCAAGGAAAAGCUAUUUAAUGAUCCUGACUUGAAAGCAAUCUCGGAAAAACAUGUUGUCGCCUUCUUUCCUCUCAGUAAUGUGGCUGGUAACCGUGGAAAAAUCAAGCAGAUAUGGAGAGCCGUGCUAGAAGCAGCGCCCUUCCAGUCUCACUGGCAUACCGAGGUACCUCUGGCCUGGCUCGCAAUCGAAAGAGAAAUCAUGUUACUGAAAAGUAAAAAUGUCAAAAUUCUCACUCUGCAAGACGUUUUCAACAUAGCCAAAAAUCUUGAAUUCGACAUAGAGGACUUGGAAAACUGCGUCCUAGACGCACUGAGAUAUUUCAAUAGGACUGGCUUAGUACUCUCCGUGGUAUUGAAUAAUGCCAACUGUAAGGUUGUUAUUAAUCCGAUGUGGUUAGUGAAAAACUUUAGACUGAUAAUCACUGUUCAGAAAUUCCAGACACGACAUGACUCACUGGAUCACUACAACAAGACAGGGGAGAUAACUCUUGACCUCAUCAGGUUACUUUUAAAACAAGGUGAUGAGGAAAACCACUUCCCCGACCAUGAGGAAGUCCUCGUGUACUACAUGGAGCGCCUGGCACUUAUCACCCGCCCGCUUACAAGGGAAGGACAGGCAACCGAUGACGUAUUUGUAGUUCCAUGCAUCCUUCCAGCCGCUGACCCAGAGACGCUUCGACACAUCAUCGAGAGCCCUGGAACAACAAAGACAUCAACAUUGUCGUUUCUAUUCCGAAACGUCUUCGUGUCGUCCCCUGUUUAUGACAAGUUACUCGCGUCAUGUAUCUACUGUUUCGAGGCAGCUAAACUAGCAGGAGAAACCCAGUGUCUCCAGAGAGGAUUCGGCUGUUUCCAAUUAAACCCGCGCUGGGAUAUGGUCAUACACUGCGAAGACUGCAUUAUUAAGGUGACACUCUUCUCCGCGAACAAGAUAAGUAAAGUAAAGCCCGGAGAGGGCUUCUAUGUGAAAAAUGUCAUCGCAACAAUGUUAAACAAUGUUCUGAUCACAAACCAACAGCAGCAUCUAGUUGACACAUUUGAACUUUGUCUUGAUAAGUCUUACUUUGUGCUUCCCGCAGAAGAGCCAGUUCCCGAAAAUGUUGUAUCACAAUCAAGUGAACCGAUUGUGUGUCCCGGACCUGCAGGUACCCAGACGGUAUCGCAAGAUGAUCGAAAUGUGUGGUUUGUCGACCCAUCUUCAGUGAAGGUUCCAACAGAAGUGUCCCUCCCUUUCACCGCCGAUAUGUUGGAGAAGCGACUUACUCCCAGACAAAUGAGCCAUGUUGCCAAAUGCAUCGGUACAAGUUACUGUGUGCUUUUCAUUGAAAUUGGUUUGGAAAUGGAUGAAAUCGAAAACGUGAAACAUGAUUGCCGACAGCUGAGCACUAGGACUCUCAUUACACUUCUGAUUAGGAAAUGGAGCAUCAAGUUUGGACCAAAGGCUGUGUUUGGUCGCAUCUACCACGCCAUGAAGUCGAGAGAAAUAAGCACAGACAAGCUUUUUACUGAAAUGGAGAGAAAACUCCCUACGGCCAACGCCCCUCAAACAUCUAAUUCCGGAAGACUGAAGCAAGUCAAUGACGAAUACAUGUUGGUAGGAGACAUUGACAAGAUGGAAGCUUACAAAGGCAAGGCAGACAUUGAAGGAGACAGGACGAACAUUGAGGAAGACAAGACAGAUGGUGACAAAGUCAAGACAGAAGGUGAUGGAUGGAAGAUGGAACGUGGCGAAAACAUUAUAGGAGUUGACGAAAUCAAGGUUAAACGUGUCGAAACUAUGAUUGGAGAAGACGAAAGCAAGAUGGAACGUUGCAAAAAUGUGAUUGGAGGAGGCGAAAGCAAGAUGGAACGUUGCAAAAAUGUGAUUGGAGGAGGCGAAAGCAAGAUGGAACGUUGCAAAAAUGUGAUUGGAGGAGGCGAAAGCAAGAUGGAACGUUGCAAAAAUGUGAUUGGAGGAGGCGAAAGCAAGAUGGAACGUUGCAAAAAUGUGAUUGGAGGAGGCGAAAGCAAGAUGGAACGUUGCAAAAAUGUGAUUGGAGGAGGCGAAAGCAAGAUGGAACGUUGCAAAAAUGUGAUUGGAGGAGGCGAAAGCAAGAUGGAACACGACAGAGUGGGAAAGACCAAAGCCAAAGGGUGACAAACACAAAUCGGUCGCAGACGAAGAAAAGAUUGAAGAUUACAGAGGCAAAACAGAGGUUGGCGAGGCGGAAGAUGCUACAAAUGCGUACGACGACAAAUCUCCAACCACGGAUGAGUUGAGCAUCAUCGCAGGCAAGAUAGGAAUGUCGUACAUCAUUUUCUUCU